This 607-nucleotide long non-coding RNA is filed under the name Geospiza fortis (medium ground-finch). RNAcentral's name for it is "lncRNA (ENSGFOG00000003443.1)". The record is from RNAcentral. Lineage: Eukaryota; Metazoa; Chordata; Aves; Passeriformes; Thraupidae.
CCAGACUGAAUAUUUGGCAGCUCCCAGCAAGAACCACAGAGUUUACAUAAAAGUAGCUCGUAGCUCUUGUUGCUCAGAUUUGCAGAGGCAGAAGGAACACAACGUGUUGCUCCACUGAACAAGCAAAAGACCUUGACUCUGCUGUCACAUACAAGGAGGAGUUUGUCUCACUUUGUGAGAGCCUGUAUAACUAUGGACUGGAAGAGUAUGAAAAACGAGAAGCUGAAGUCUCUAAAUUCUACAAAAGAUUCCAUGAAAUUCUGGCAGUCAAGCAGGAAGAAAGCAAGAGAAUAAUCUCAGACUUUGAGAGUCGGAACGAAAGGAGGCUGGAUGAGCUCUAUCAGGACGGGAGUGGUGAAAUUGCUGACUCUAAACGAGCCCAGGGCAAGGAGGAGAUCCAGCAGCUGUGGCAUGCACUGAUGAUCUUGGAAGCUCUGGUGUCCAACGACCUGGAGGAACUGUUGCAGGAUUUUAAAAGAAGCAUUGAUGUCAUAGCAUCAACAUUCACUGAAAACAUUCAAGGGAUAUAUCCUUUUCACAGUAGGCUGGUCUGGACCUCCCAGUCAUGCACCUACACCUCACCUCUAAAUCCAAAAAUGAGCCUCCA